CAACUUUCAAAGGAUCAGAGAAUGAAUCUAGUACUGAAAGCAUACGCUAGAGCUAGCUAGCACUGCAGUGCAUACAAUGUGGUGAGUAGUUGACUCAAAGAGAAAGAAAGACAAUAGUUUAACAGUUUUCAACAAAUGAAUUUCUUCAAAAAUGAAGGCAAGAGAGAAAGAGAGAUUUCAUCAUUUUCUUUCACUUUCAGUUUCACUUACUAGCAAACUCAGCUGGCUAGUUUAGUUACUCAAACACCCGGCUCAAACAGAGGGAUGCUAUGUUAGCUAGCUGGCUAUGACUAUCCAUCACAACACUGGAACUCUUCCAAGUCAAGAUGAAGUCCUGCAACUAGUGAGGUACGGUCACCCGACAACCUACCCAUUUGAUCCCAUCCUCCAUUCUCCUGACCAUCUCUGGAUACCUUUUACCAUUCCUCACUUCCCUAUCAACUCAUCCCUGACCACUGGUUGCAUCCCCUCUGACUUCAAAAUGGCCCGAAUCGCUCCCAUCCUCAAGAAACCAACACCCGACUCAUCUGACGUCAAAAACUACAGACCAGUAUCCCUUAUUUAUUUUCUUUGCAAAACACUUGUGUGCUGUCUCUGACAAACUAUCUCACUAUCUCUCUCAGAAUAAUCUUCUUGACCCUAACCAGUCAGGUUUUUGUCCUAGGCUGAAAGGCUUGCCAAGAACCAUUACUGUUUACAGUUGGAAUGAUCAGUACACAGAGCUGGCUGUCCGACCAUACUGAGCAACCGGGCAAGAAGGACCUUGGUCAGGGAGGUGACCCAGAAUCCAAUGACCACUCUGACAGAACUACAGAGUUCUUUGGCA
This 826-nucleotide long non-coding RNA is filed under the name Salmo salar (Atlantic salmon). RNAcentral describes it as "lncRNA (ENSSSAG00000114605.1, ENSSSAG00000119697.1)". Lineage: Eukaryota; Metazoa; Chordata; Actinopteri; Salmoniformes; Salmonidae. The record is from RNAcentral.